This 357-nucleotide long non-coding RNA is filed under the name Carica papaya (papaya). RNAcentral's name for it is "long non-coding RNA (CPAP_LNC003837)". The record is from RNAcentral. Lineage: Eukaryota; Viridiplantae; Streptophyta; Magnoliopsida; Brassicales; Caricaceae.
ACUCUUGGUAAGGCACCGACUAAGCGUACUUGUGAAAAGAAUCAUGGUAAUCAGUCGUGUCAUCAGGUCACUCGAUCAUGUUUCAAGUGUGAUAGCCAACAACAUUUGAUCCGUAACUACCCACUUAUGAAAGAACAAUCAAAAGCUCAAAGAUGGGGACGAGUGUAUACCCAUACGGCAUCAGAUGCUGAAGUAAACCCAGACGUGGUUCAAGGUAUAUAUCUUGUCUCAAAGAACCUAGCUAAGGUAUUAGUAGAUCCUAGUUCCACACACUCAUUCGUGUGUCACACUUUUGCACUACGAUUAAGUGUCACACUUGUUUAUUCGGGGCAUAUCUUGAUGAUAUCCACACCAACC